GGUAUUUGCUUAAGGUCUUGCACAUCGGGCUCAUUUUGAAAACCUCUGUGUCUCACCCUCAUGGUUUAUUCAUUUACAGAAAGAUCACUUUGUCUGAGCUGUUGCUCCUUAUUCCUGCCCAUGUCAGUCCUGCGCCAACGAGAGUACCGCCAUCUAUUGGUCUGCAUUAGCAGUGUACAUGGGCGACAUGGUGUGGUGGACGACACCAUCUUUUUCACUUUGGAUUCUCUGAAGCUUCCUGCCGGUUACGUACCUCAACCAAAUGACAUCGUUGACGUGGUCAUAGUAGAGAGCGUUCAGUCCUGCUAUAUUUGGAGAGCAGUUUCUAUGACCCCAGUGCACAUAUUGUAAAAGCAAAACCCUUUGUUUCCUGUUGGUCUUCAUUUCUAUGGGCAGUAAAGGGCCUGGUUUAAUGGAAAAGCUGAGCUUAGUAAGCCCAAACAAAAUAUUAAUGCUUUAAUUAAUCAUUUAAGACAGUGGGUAGUUCAUUUGGGACCAGGAACCUACUUUAGGGAACUGCCUUAUCCAUUCUGAAACAUGCUAAAGCUGGAUGUUUAUUGUAGGAAAGAAAUAGCACUGCAGUCAGGCACAGUAGCCCAUGCCUUUAAUUCCAGAGACUCAGAGACUGAGGCAGGAGGAUCACAGGUUUGAGGAGAGCUUGACAACUUAGUGAAUCCAGUUUCAAAAUACAAAAAAUAAAAAUGGGGGUGUAACUCAGUGGUAAAGUACCCCGGGCUCAAUCCCCUGGCAACAAGUGUUAGAGUCUGUAAACAAGUCAGGAUGGCGCCUGCUAUUUUGCCAGGGGGAGUGGUUUGUGAGGUGGCACCAGCGAGCCAUUAAGUGUGGAGAUUCCUUAUUGGUUGACUGCUGUAUCUAGUUUAUGUUAAUUAAGAUAAGCUGUGUGUAAUGUAUAUAUACCCCUCCUGUCCUACAAUAAAUGGCUCCCACUCCUACUGUAUCAAUCUACACAAGUUCUUCGUCACCCCCCGGUUAUUUUGCUGCAGCCGGACUGCGGCAGAUGGUGGCCUUUUACGGGGAGCCCCGGGACACUCAGGGGUAAGUGACGAAAAAAAAAAAAAAGCUGCCCGUCCAUAGACAGAACAGGAGCAAAUCUGUUCGUCCCUAGGCAGAUAGGGCGAGAGGAAAAAUGGCCAUUUUGAGAAAAUGGAGAAGAUUGAUGCAGUAUGUUUGUGUCUUGUUUUGUCUCAGUGUAUUGUAUUGUCUUUGUGAUGAAAAUAUGGAAGGGGUGAGAAGUAAAUUACUAAGGGAAGAAGGCACCCCAGUGGAACCAAGAAUAGUUAGGGCAUGUGUUGAUGGAAGCCCAGGAACUCUAGUCAGAAAGAAAAAGAAAGUUCAGAGGAAGGAUUAUCAGGAAAAAAGUUGCAGCAAAAGGCUAUUACUGAAUACUUUUCGUUACCGGAGGGUGCGUGAAUCGGCGCUGUGGUUGCCACGUGUGCGAGCCGGUCAUGGUGCAGCAAGGACUUUCCAAGCGGCGGCAGCCGGCUCUUCCACUGCCAGGAGCCCAAAUCUAGACCUGACCUGGAGGCACAGUCUCGCAGGCUCUUGCUCCCUGUGCCCGGAAGCAGUUUGUGUCCAGGACUCUCCCCAGGGCCAUCUGGGGCUGCCCGGAUGCUAUAGCCGAUGCUACCGGAUGCUACCGGUGUCCCUGAUGUUUGGUUAUUUUCAAUGCCAAUAACUAAGCUACAAUGGUUCUCCCACACCUGGAGGCUGAUGAAUAAUGAGCACCAUUAAGGCUUAUUUCAAAUGUAAGAAACCUUGAGAUAAUGUACUAAAUUGUUCAGAAGGUUGUUUUCUUAGCGCCUGCUGGAAUACUACAGGAUUUUCUUUACCACCCGGAGUUCCUGCCUUCAUCCCAGUGCCAGUGAAGAUGAAGGUGGAAGAAUUUCCAGUGUUGCUGAAAACCGGACGAAACUUCGUCUGAGAACCGGACGAGACUUUGGAUCAAGCUAGCUGCCUGCAGAACUUACCUGGACUGUGAUUUAAGCUAGCUGCCUGCAGAAUUUACCUGGACUGUGAUUUACCUGGACUGUGAGGACACUGCUUUAACUGGACUGAGACAACAAACUGUAAUCUACAACAAAUUGUAACUCGGUAUCUUUGCAAAUGGUGUCAUUGCUGGUAUAAUUUUUCUAAGGGCUUCUUGCAUGGAGCCAUCAAUUGGCUUGGUAUUGUGGCAUUUUGUAUCCUCCCCUUCUGCUUGUAGCAGAUUAUUUAUGGUGUUUAUGUAAAAACCACUAUGGUCAUUAUUUAAAUUAAACAAAAGGGGGAAAUGUUAGAGUCUGUAAACAAGUCAGGAUGGUGCCUGGUAUUUUGCCAGGGGGAGUGGUUUGUGAGGUUGCUCCAGCGAGCGCCAGUGUGGAGAUUCCUUAUUGGUUGACUGCUGUAUCUAGUUUAUGUUAAUUAAGAUAAGCUGUGUGUAAUGUAUAUAUACCCCUCCUGUCCUACAAUGAACGGCUCCCACUCCUGCUGUAUCAAUCUACACAAGUUCUUCGUCACCCCUCGGUUAUUUUGCUGCAGCCGGACUGCGGCAAGCAAGCUUCUUGAUUUCCUAGCACCCUGACUGGGGACUGGUAUUUUUGUCCUUGGGGGACCAGUUCUGUUGUGGUGUCCAGGACUGUUUUGGACUCUUUCAGCCCUUGAAAUAAGUUUGCAAGCACCUGGUCCCUGGUUGAAUUGAAGUUUGGUUUAGGAUGGCUACUGACUCCGGCUUCUGUGUUGCUUCUGACUCCUCACUGAUACAUUGUCUUCUGGCACUGGGGGUUGGGGAUGAUAUUUGGUGUCAAUAUGGA
Marmota monax (woodchuck) is the source of this 2810-nucleotide long non-coding RNA. RefSeq lists it as uncharacterized. The transcript is spliced from 3 exons. The record is from RefSeq and is a predicted model, not a curated record. Lineage: Eukaryota; Metazoa; Chordata; Mammalia; Rodentia; Sciuridae.